GGGGCUUAAAGGAUUUGACAGCGAAAUGAAAGUAUUGAUAUAAGCAUGUAGGUUUGGCACCAAACCUUAUAAAUGAUGCAAAAAAUAACUGGCAACAAUAAAGUUUCCGAAAAAGUAUUCAAAAACCUGAAAGCAUUUGAAGGUAAACGAGUACUUGAAAUUGAAGAAAUGGCUAUUGCAGCUUGAUGUUGAGAUUACUCCAUUAUACAAUAGUUUUUCAAAAGAUAGGUGAAGUAUAGUAACUAAAUCUUACAUUUCUCAAUUCAGAGAUGAGUGAACAGAUAUUGAUACUCUGAAUUCAAAUAUUGAACUACACUAAAGUUUCGUCGUUAAGACGAAAAAUCUAUUCUGUUGGUUUAACUUCAAACCUAAUGUUAAAGAGUUGCUUAUGUUUUGGUUGGAAUCUUACUUGGACAUAAUAAGACAAAAUGAUUCUAAACAUGUAGAAAAUUGAUGUCUGCUUCGUUUGAACGAGGGUUCGAUGCCCUCAAGCUCCACAA
RNAcentral lists this transfer-messenger RNA (500 nucleotides) under Bacilli bacterium. It matches the Rfam family "transfer-messenger RNA". Rfam says of the family: Bacterial tmRNA, also known as 10Sa RNA or SsrA, is named for its dual tRNA and mRNA-like properties. Its role is to liberate the mRNA from a stalled ribosome. To accomplish this part of the tmRNA is used as a reading frame that ends in a translation stop signal. The record is from RNAcentral. Lineage: Bacteria; Bacillati; Bacillota; Bacilli.